AUUCCAGCUUCAGUAGCGUAUAUUAAAGUUGUUGCAGUUAAAAAGCUCGUAGUCGCAUUUCUGGCGAGAGGAAUUGGUCCGACAUUUAUUGUGGGUACUCGAUUCUCUCUCGCCAUCCUUGAGUGGUCCGUUCUGGCAUUUAGUUGUCGGAGCGUCAGCCGCUCAUCGUUUACUGUGAGAAAAUUAGAGUGUUCAAAGCAGGCUUAUGCCGUUGAAUAUAUUAGCAUGGAAUAAUAAGAUAGGACCUCGGUGCUAUUUUGUUGGUUUGCGCACAGAGGUAAUGAUGAACAGGGACAGUUGGGGGUAUUUGUAUUUCGUUGUCAGAGGUGAAAUUCUUAGAUUUACGAAAGACAAACUACUGCGAAAGCAUUUACCAAGGAUGUUUUCAUUA
RNAcentral lists this ribosomal RNA (391 nucleotides) under Chaetoceros sp. Its description in RNAcentral is "partial small subunit ribosomal RNA". It matches the Rfam family "Eukaryotic small subunit ribosomal RNA", at positions 582 to 975 of the family's 1831-position model. Lineage: Eukaryota; Bacillariophyta; Thalassiosirophyceae; Chaetocerotales; Chaetocerotaceae. The record is from RNAcentral.